RNAcentral lists this ribosomal RNA (426 nucleotides) under uncultured bacterium. RNAcentral's name for it is "bacterial SSU rRNA". It matches the Rfam family "Bacterial small subunit ribosomal RNA", at positions 355 to 775 of the family's 1533-position model. The record is from RNAcentral.
UCGGGAAUUUUGGGCAAUGGGCGAAAGCCUGACCCAGCAACGCCGCGUGAAGGAUGAAAUUUUUCGGAAUGUAAACUUCGCAAGAACGGGAAGAAUAAGUAGAUGUGAAUACCUUCUAUGAUGACGGUACCGUUUGUAAGCUCCGGCUAACUCCGUGCCAGCAGCCGCGGUAAUACGGGGGGAGCAAGCGUUGUUCGGAUUUACUGGGCGUAAAGGGCGCGUAGGCGGUCGUGACAAGUCACUUGUGAAAUCUCCGGGCUUAACCCGGAAAGGUCAAGUGAUACUGUCGGACUAGAGUACAGAAGGGGCAACUGGAAUUCUCGGUGUAGCGGUGAAAUGCGUAGAUAUCGAGAGGAACACCUGCGGCGAAGGCGGGUUGCUGGGCUGAUACUGACGCUGAGGCGCGAAAGCUAGGGGACCAAACGG